This 149-nucleotide non-coding RNA is filed under the name Chlorocebus sabaeus (green monkey). Lineage: Eukaryota; Metazoa; Chordata; Mammalia; Primates; Cercopithecidae. The record is from Rfam by way of RNAcentral.
GCUGGGCAUGGUGCCACAUGCCUAUAGUCCCAGCUACUCGGGAGGCUGAGGCAGGAGAAUCGCUUGAACCCAGGAGGCAGAGGUUGCAGUGAGCCAAGAUCGGCACCACUGCAAUCCAGCCUGGGUAACAGAGUGAGACUCUGUCUCAA